UGGAGUGUAGCUCAAUCGGUAGAGCACCCGGCUGUUAACCGGGCGGUUGAAGGUUCGAUCCCUUCCACUCCAGCCA
Molecule: transfer RNA, 76 nt
Filed under: Mesorhizobium sp. LNJC384A00
Lineage: Bacteria; Pseudomonadati; Pseudomonadota; Alphaproteobacteria; Hyphomicrobiales; Phyllobacteriaceae
Also listed under: 2 other names
Description: tRNA-Asn
Rfam family: tRNA
About the family: Transfer RNA (tRNA) molecules are approximately 80 nucleotides in length. Their secondary structure includes four short double-helical elements and three loops (D, anti-codon, and T loops). Further hydrogen bonds mediate the characteristic L-shaped molecular structure. tRNAs have two regions of fundamental functional importance: the anti-codon, which is responsible for specific mRNA codon recognition, and the 3' end, to which the tRNAs corresponding amino acid is attached (by aminoacyl-tRNA synthetases). tRNAs cope with the degeneracy of the genetic code in two manners: having more than one tRNA (with a specific anti-codon) for a particular amino acid; and 'wobble' base-pairing, i.e. permitting non-standard base-pairing at the 3rd anti-codon position.
Source: RNAcentral